Long non-coding RNA from Platichthys flesus (European flounder), 1348 nucleotides. RefSeq lists it as uncharacterized. NCBI's taxonomy places the organism in Eukaryota, Metazoa, Chordata, Actinopteri, Pleuronectiformes, Pleuronectidae. The transcript has 3 exons. The record is from RefSeq and is a predicted model, not a curated record.
AGUCCCAUUGAAUCCCAUGUUAAAAUGCCCAAUUUUAGAGUAGAAUUAAACCUGUUUACAGCAUUAUUCAAACUUUGGUUUUAGUCUCAAUCGCUAUGUUCUUCCUUCAUUAAAACUCUGAGGGGGUGAACUUUUUCGUAACUACCUCUUUAUCGCUAUAAUAAGCGAUAUAGUGGUUUGAAAUUUACGUGACGUCACAGUGAGCUGCGCCCUCCCUUCUCCUUACUUUUUCCUGUGUCAUUGAACACAACUCGAGACUUUCGAAACCUCCCACUCAGUAUCGGAUGAAUAACACAGUUUGAUGUUUUGCUUGUUCUGCUGACGGACACGUUAAAGACGUCUGCGCUCCCGUUUCUGUGCAUGUCCAGCAUGAGACAACUGGAAUUCAACCACAUUGAACACCGACUUCAGGGACAGACGAGCCUGAAGGACACAGCUGUGAUGACCAUGUUCUGUCUCUUAUGGCAAAGCAGAAAUAUAAAACACUGGGUUCUUAUCUAAAGUGUAUCAAAUCAGAUCUCCACCAUGUUGCUGCUGAGGACAUCAGGUGCUGCAGUUCUUCAUCUAUGAAGAGAAAAAACGCACUGUUAAAGAAUGUUUUGUGUUGUGUAUAAAGCACAACAGAUUUCUGAUAGAACUGUUGUACUGUGGUCUUGGUUUAUAUCCUCAUGGUGAAAUGUACAUAUUUUAAGUCCCUUCUGAUAAAAGUGCUGAAAGAAAUACAACAUUGUACAAAUACAUAAAAUGUCUUUCUACCUCAUCAGUACUAUUCAAGGUGAUAAUCUCCCACAGACCUAUUGAUAACAGUCCAAAUCAAGUCUUUCCACUUCUCUCAGUGUGAAAACAUAAUUCUAUAAUUAAUUUGAGAACUGUUUACAACACUGAUGUGUGGAGAUUAAAAUCAUACCUAAACUGUCUAAUUCACUGUAAAACUCCAUGACAUUCGCAGGCCAUCUGUAGUUAAGGGAGCAACGCAUGGAAUGAUGUGUAGAUUACUAGUUUGAUGAUGCAUGAGGAGAGGCGGUGGUCGAGUGGCAGAAACUUGGACUAUGGGCAGAGAAGGUCUCUGGUUCGUCUUUGGUUCGACUCCAUGGAGAGACAACAAAAGUCGAACCUGGAUUGAUCUGUCCAAAAAUCCAAGAGUCUCCCUACCCUCUCUAGUGCCCAUGAGCAAGGCACCUCACUCCCCCAACAUCUGCUCCCCCGAGCGCCGUACAUGGUCGCUCACUGCUCUGUGUGUCCUGCACCAGAUGGGUAAAAAGCAGCGAUUAAAUUUCCCUACCUGCAUGAGUGUGCCUUUGCAUGUCUGUGCAUGUGUUUGGGAUGAAUAAAUGGAUUUUAAUCUUAA